GUACACGCUGUGACUAGCAUAUCAAUAAGCGGAGGAAAAGGUAACUAACAAGGAUUCCCCUAGUAACGGCGAGUGAAGCGGGAAGAGCUCAAAUUUGAAAUCUUAAAGGGUUUCCCUUUACGAAUUGUAGUUUAAAGAAGUGUUUUCUGUCGAGGUUUUGGUAAAAGUUCUUUGGAAUAGGACAUCAUAGAGGGUGAGAAUCCCGUAUUUGACCUUUACUUUCAACUUUGUGAUACACUUUCAAAGAGUCGGAUUGUUUGGGAAUGCAGUCCAAAAUGGGUGGUAAAUUUCAUCUAAAGCUAAAUAUUGGCGAGAGACCGAUAGCGAACAAGUACCGUGAGGGAAAGAUGAAAAGAACUUUGAAAAGAGAGUUAAACAGUACGUGAAAUUGUCAAAAGGGAAGCGUUUGACACCAGUGUUGUUUUUCUGAAAAUCAAUUAUAGAACUGUUUAUGCUAAGCUGUUUAGACUUUAUCAGCUAACUGUUUAGUUUUGAGCUUUUCUUUAAUGCACUUUUCAGUUAACAAGUCAACAUCAAUUUCUUUUGCUGUAAAAAAGCUUGAGGAAGGUGGCUUGAGAUUCGUCUUAAGUGUUUAUAGCCUCUUGCCUAUGCAGUCGGAGAGAUUGAGGUCUGCAGCGUAGAUCCUUCGGGGCUAAAUGCAUUUGUGCUAAGUUAUAGCAUUUUCAUAGACAACUUGUUGACUAUGAUUUGUCUUGUAGCUUACUCGCUUAUGUUAUUUUACCUACGCUUAGGAUGUUGACGCGCGUGUGUGCGUG
RNAcentral lists this ribosomal RNA (776 nucleotides) under uncultured Neocallimastigales. Its description in RNAcentral is "partial large subunit ribosomal RNA". It matches the Rfam family "Eukaryotic large subunit ribosomal RNA", at positions 22 to 639 of the family's 3401-position model. Lineage: Eukaryota; Fungi; Neocallimastigomycota; Neocallimastigomycetes; Neocallimastigales. The record is from RNAcentral.